Molecule: unclassified non-coding RNA, 371 nt
Filed under: uncultured Bryobacterales bacterium
Lineage: Bacteria; Pseudomonadati; Acidobacteriota; Terriglobia; Bryobacterales
Description: contains 16S-23S intergenic spacer region
Source: RNAcentral
UCCAGGUUAUCCCUGGCGGUCUCCUGCGAGUUCCGUAAAUGGCAACACAGGACAAGGGUUGCGCUCGUUGCGGGACUUAACCCAACAUCUCACGACACGAGCUGACGACAGCCAUGCAGCACCUCGACUCCGGUCCCUUGCGGGAAGUCCUAAUUUCUUAAGAUGGUCCAAAGCCGUUCGAGCCCAGGUAAGGUUCUUCGCGUUGCGUCGAAUUAAACCACAUGCUCCACCGCUUGUGCGGGCCCCCGUCAAUUCCUUUGAGUUUCAGCCUUGCGACUGUACUCCCCAGGCGGCAUAUUUAACGCGUUAGCUCCGGCACGGAUCAACUGAAUGACCCACACCAAAUAUGCAUCGUUUAGGGCGUGGACUAC